Molecule: ribosomal RNA, 480 nt
Filed under: uncultured bacterium
Lineage: Bacteria
Description: bacterial SSU rRNA
Rfam family: Bacterial small subunit ribosomal RNA
Source: RNAcentral
UCAGGACGAACGCUGGCGGGCGUGCUUCAUACAUGCAAGUCGAACGAGAAUCUCUAGGCUUGCUAGAGAGGAAAGUGGCGGACGGGUGAGUAAUGUGUAGAGAAUCUGCCCUUUAGUGGGGGACAACAGUUGGAAACGACUGCUAAUACCCCAUAUGCGCGUACUUGAGAUAGUAUUCGUGAAAACUCCGGUGCUAAAGGAUGAGUCUGCAUCUGAUUAGCUAGUUGGCGGUGUAAUGGACCACCAAGGCGACGAUCAGUAGCUGGUUUGAGAGGAUGAUCAGCCACAAUGGGACUGAGACACGGCCCAUACUCCUACGGGAGGCAGCAGUAGGGAAUUUUGCGCAAUGGGGGAAACCCUGAACCGCAGCAACGCCGCGUGAUUGAAUAAGCCCUUCGGGGUGUAAAGAUCUGUCAGUUAGGGACGAAACUUGACGGUACCUACAGAGGAAGCAUCGGCUAACUCCGUGCCAGCCGCCGC